This is a long non-coding RNA of Glycine soja, 671 nucleotides long. RefSeq lists it as uncharacterized. The record is from RefSeq and is a predicted model, not a curated record. NCBI's taxonomy places the organism in Eukaryota, Viridiplantae, Streptophyta, Magnoliopsida, Fabales, Fabaceae. The transcript is spliced from 4 exons.
AUAACACCUCACCUUUUGUGGUGCCAAUAAUCGUAGUACUCAUCCUGCUUUUGUUGUCCUUUUUGGGAGGUUCAAGCAGAAGAAGGGUUUGUGUCAAGCCACCAUAUUGUCAGUUUUUUUCAUGGAGAAUAGCACGUAAGAACUUAUGAGAGAAGGUCAAAACUCAAAAGGGGUAGAAAGAAGGGGAAAACCGGAAAAGUGUGACUUUAUUUAUAAAGUAGUUUCAGCAUUGAAGUGGACAACACAAAAUUAGCACUGGUUAAAUUCUAGCAGAAAUGAGACAGAGGUAUUUGAAGAAGUUGGACAGAGACAUCUAAAAUGCGUUAAAAAUGCAAAUAGUGUUGUUUGAGGGGAAAGGCGCGGCUGGAGAAUUCACUAAGCCCCUUCAGAAAGGAGCUCUCCAUGGGGUGGGGCUGCUUUGAUCCCGGUGUUGCUGAUAAUGGUGCAAUAUCAAUCCAACUUUCUUGAUAGCUGGUUUCUUUGAUUUUGAUUUUUUCUCUAUAGGUUGGUUUUAUUUUUCUGUGCCUUUUGAUUUUUGGUUUUUACUAACUAGGAGUCUGUGGAAAAAUCCUUUGAGUAGUGUAAUUUGUAAAUAUGUAGAUACAUAUGUGACGGUGCUUGUAUGAAUAUAAUAUAUGAAUCAUGUUAAAGGUGGUUAGGUGAUUCUCAUA